GUAGGUGAACCUGCGGAAGGAUCAUUAACACGUUUUCCGAACGUUUACAUGAACCCAUUUAUUUUCCGUGAACAUUCAACCGGCCUCCCGACCCAACCUUCUGGUUUACUGGAUGUGUUCUGGUCGGGCGUCAGCAGGGUACCAUGGGCACCACUUUCAGAAGGAUUGUUCGGGCGAAAUGCCUGUCUUUCUUAGUAUGAUCGACCGGAGCUUCCUGCGGGCGUUGCCACCCAACCCAACCCUUGAAUCUAAUUGUUCUGAACUUUGUAGUUGGUGUGUGCGGAGGAAACUCUGUGCCCCAGCGAAUUCUAAAUCAACAACAACUCUUAACAAUGGAUAUCUUGGUUCUC
This 350-nucleotide unclassified non-coding RNA is filed under the name rhizosphere metagenome. RNAcentral describes it as "partial ribosomal RNA internal transcribed spacer region". The record is from RNAcentral.